UUAGGGUACUUAAAGUUCCUGCCGUGGUGGUUUGUUCAACCCCGGCACCGGCCCUGGGCGGCGGGGUAUGCCACACGCCCAAGGCUUCAAGGCUUGUGCCACGUGCCGCAGGCCUAUGCCAUUGAGCGACCCCCACGCCUCGUGUCUCCGUUGCCUGGGGGAAGCUCACCAGAAAGAGCGCUGCAAGAUCUGCAAGGCCUUUAAGCCCAGAACUAAAAAAGAGAGGGACUUUCGCCUUAAGCAGCUGCUCAUGGAGACGGCGUUACAGCCCUCCACUUCGACGGCACCGUCUGCCUCCGUGCGGAGUGCCCCGGCAUCGGUGCGGGAACCGGCACUGGCGGGUCACCCGAAGACCGCGGCACUGACCCAGCGGGGAAAUGCACGAUGCCGAUCGUCUUCGCCGGCGAAAGCGAAGGGCCAGUCUAAGGCCCGAGGACGCUCCCCGCACAAGAGGCCGGCACCGGUAAAGACCUCGAGUGCCCCUAAGGCCGAUACGGCCCCAACACGGACCCCGGUAGUGGCUCCGGCGCCGAAAGGCCCGUCGAGCCCCGGGAUGGGCGCGUCGAGUGCGGAUGAAGGGCUAGAGGAGCUCGUGGAACAGCCCUCCACUCCGGACACGUUUGAGGCAGCUAAAGACCUCAUCGCUUUGUCCGUCGAGGCCCCGGCACGCGCUGAGGGCGCUCCGCCGAUGCUGCCGCGUAGAGGCAAGCCGGCGAUGUUGCGCCCAUCACGGUCGCCGUCUCGGCACCGCUCCAGGAACCGGUCCCGGUCGAGCUCCGCCUCGGUGGACUCCCGGUUGCCCUCGGCGCAGGAAGCACCGCAGCAGUCGGGCUUCAACAAGCGGUCGGCACCGACUCAGCAACUGAGCACGAGUCGGCACCGCGAAGCGUUGGCGGUUCAUUACCCAAGGCCGUCCAGUCGUAGCCGUUCCCGGUCCUGCGAUCACCGGUACAGGUCCAGGUCGGCGAGGCACUAUUCCAGGUCCUGGUCGCGGAGGCGCUACUCCCCAGAACCGGACCGGCACCAUUCUACGGCUCCACCGUGGCCUUCCAGGUCACCGUCCGUGGUCUCGGGGGCUGACUCAGACCGGUACGGCGGGUAUGCCCAUAGGCCACGGGCCAGCAGAGACUACGGUCAGUCCCAAUGGGGCCAACCGAGCCAAUGGCCAUUCUGGACACCCUGGGCCUACCACCAGCAAGGACCCCCAUCGAGGGCCUCGAGAUCCGGGCCAUCCGGGUACCGAUCCCGCUCCCCGCGGCACCGCCCGCCAUCGUAUAGGGAGGCAAUGGUCUCUAGACCACCGGAGCGGGAAGGAGUGGACUCGGCACCGAGUACGGUGCCGUCCCAAUCCCACGCUGCGGGUCAGGCCGCAGAGGAACAACUGGCUGAUGCCGGGUUGCUGGACAAUGAGGAUGGGCAGAAGGCCCCGACCUCUUCCUCCUCGCCAGAUGAGGCGGUAGCGGGCACAUUGGUGUCCGGCCCUCCCCUGAUCGACCAUCGGGCACACCAAGACCUGCUUCGCCGGGUAGCCCUCAAUCUGGGCUUGCAAGCGGAGGAGACUGUAGAGCAGGACGACCCCAUGGUCGAUAUCCUGAGCCCAGAGGGCCCCUCCAGAGUCGCUCUCCCGAUUAUACGGACAGUACAGUCCAACUAUAAGGCGGUGUGGCAAACACCGGCCUCUAGUGCGCCAACUGCAAAAGGCGUAGAGAGGAAAU
Molecule: long non-coding RNA, 1715 nt
Organism: Chrysemys picta bellii (western painted turtle)
Lineage: Eukaryota; Metazoa; Chordata; Testudines; Emydidae
Source: Ensembl